This 1817-nucleotide long non-coding RNA is filed under the name Salmo salar (Atlantic salmon). RNAcentral describes it as "lncRNA (ENSSSAG00000084305.1, ENSSSAG00000096360.1)". The record is from RNAcentral. Lineage: Eukaryota; Metazoa; Chordata; Actinopteri; Salmoniformes; Salmonidae.
CCUUCUCAUGUAGUAGGGUCAUGUACCAUGGUACCUUCCACCCUGUGUUCUCAGCCAUGGUGGUACUGGUGAAGUUAGACUUGUUCUGAUGUCCCUCUCUAGCUGCUCCGGGGUCAUCGCCAUGUAAAGUCCAAAGACGAAAAAUAACCCUGAAGGAAGGAGAGAUGACUAGAAAGAAUCCGGUUGACCGCUUUAUGUGUGGAUUAAUUGUUGGAGUAGAGGACCUUGUGCAUUUCAGGUAAAAUAACAACUCAAUGUUUAUAUCCCAGGACAAAUAAGCUAGCUAAAUUGCCAUAAAUGUUUAAUGCUUUUCGACCUGUCCCCAAAUUAAUAUAAUUGGUUGAGAGUUUGUUUUGAUAUUUCGUGUCAUGAUCGCGUUUGGAGUGAGGGGACAAAAUCAAUUUGCGCACGAUGGCGGAUGCACUCGCGCGUCUGGUUUGGGCAUGGUGUAAUGGUUGUUUAAAUCUAAAAUUAGCUUGACGCGUUUUCGGUUAUCCUACAGACUCAGCGCAUUGCUACAUGGUACUUGAAGGAGAAUUGGAGGUUAAUAAUUUAUUACACUGUUUAGAUUGAGCACAUUUAAACGAAAGCUAAACUUCGUCAUGACGAUAUAAACGGAUGGAUGUGUUCCAGAUGAGGAAGGCCAUCUAUUGGCUGAUUUGGCGGCCUGGAGUGUAGGUCAUUGUUUUAUGAAAUGUGAUCCCAUAUCUCCAGUGACAAUAAUUAUGUAGCUAUGAAGUGUUCUCACACGAUUUCCUGAUUUUCACAACUUGGAAGUUACAUCAUGGGGAAAUGUUGUAUUUUACCCACUGAUAGAACAUAAACAUUCACCAAAUAAACAGGAGUUAUGUUUUUUAUUUCUGGGGGUGGAUUAUCCCUUUAAACUGUAUAGUGGUUAAUCAGUAGCCUUGCCUCAACCUAGUCAAAAUGCGAACCAAGGCAGGGUAAAAGAUGCAUUAUUUGUGUAUGUAGAAAUAAGUAACAAACAAGGACAUAUUUUAAUCUUGAUGAAUGACUAUUUGUAAUUUUACGACAAGCUAAGAUGUUCUUUCCCUUUAGUUUACAAUGUCUGUUCUGCCUCUAGUGACUCAGCUGCCUUCUGAUGUUUAUUAAGUCUGCUAAACUCACUCCAAUUUUCACUGUUAUUGAAAUAUGAAAAACUAUGGCCUUGUCAUUAUUAAUUCAUGUUUGCUUGUUGGUAACUUAGACAGGCAAGGGCCUCCAAGUGGCGCAGCGUCUAAAAAUGCUGACCAGACCGCACGCGCGCAUCUGAGUGCACCAUCGCCCGCAUGUUGAUUUUGUCCCCCCACACCAGAGAUCAGGACAGCAGGUUGAUUUUGUCCCCCCACACCAGAGAUCAAAACACACAGGUUGAUUUUGUCCCCCCACACCAGAGAUCAGGACAGCAGGUUGAUUUUGUCCCCCCACACCAGAGAUCAGGACAGCAGGUUGAUUUUGUCCCCCCACACCAGAGAUCAAAACACGCAGGUUGAUUUUGUCCCCCCACACCAGAGAUCAGGACAGCAGGUUGAUUUUGUCCCCCCACACCAGAGAUCAAAACACACAGGUUGAUUUUGUCCCCCCACACCAGAGAUCAGGACAGCAGGUUGAUUUUGUCCCCCCACACCAGAGAUCAAAACACGCAGGUUGAUUUUGUCCCCCCACACCAGAGAUCAAAACACGCAGGUUGAUUUUGUCCCCCCACACCAGAGAUCAGGACAGCAGGUUGAUUUUGUCCCCCCCACACCAGAGAUCAAAACACACAGGUUGAUUUUGUCCCCCCACACCAGAGAUCAGAACACGCAGGUUGAUUUUGU